CAACGCGAAGAACCUUACCUGGUCUUGACAUCCACAGAAGAAUCCAGAGAUGGAUUUGUGCCUUCGGGAACUGUGAGACAGGUGCUGCAUGGCUGUCGUCAGCUCGUGUUGUGAAAUGUUGGGUUAAGUCCCGCAACGAGCGCAACCCUUAUCCUUUGUUGCCAGCGGUUAGGCCGGGAACUCAAAGGAGACUGCCAGUGAUAAACUGGAGGAAGGUGGGGAUGACGUCAAGUCAUCAUGGCCCUUACGACCAGGGCUACACACGUGCUACAAUGGCGCAUACAAAGAGAAGCGACCUCGC
This 301-nucleotide ribosomal RNA is filed under the name Salmonella enterica subsp. enterica serovar Anatum. RNAcentral describes it as "bacterial SSU rRNA". It matches the Rfam family "Bacterial small subunit ribosomal RNA", at positions 957 to 1258 of the family's 1533-position model. Lineage: Bacteria; Pseudomonadati; Pseudomonadota; Gammaproteobacteria; Enterobacterales; Enterobacteriaceae. The record is from RNAcentral.